Oncorhynchus keta (chum salmon) is the source of this 493-nucleotide long non-coding RNA. RefSeq lists it as uncharacterized. The transcript is spliced from 2 exons. The record is from RefSeq and is a predicted model, not a curated record. NCBI's taxonomy places the organism in Eukaryota, Metazoa, Chordata, Actinopteri, Salmoniformes, Salmonidae.
UCAAAUCAAAUCAAAUCAAAUGUAUUUAUAUAGCCCUUCGUACAUCAGCUGAUAUCUCAAAGUGCUGUACAGAAACCCAGCCUAAAACCCCAAACAGCAAGCAAUGCAGGCGUAGAAGCACGGUGGCUAGGAAAAACUCCCUAGAAAGGCCAAAACCUAGGAAGAAUCCUAGAGAGGAACCAGGCUAUGUGGGGUGGCCAGUCCUCUUCUGGCUGUGCCGGGUGGAGAUUAUAACAGAACAUGGCCAAGAUGUUCAAAUGUUCAUAAAUGACCAGCAUGGUCGAAUAAUAAUAAGGCAGAACAGUUGAAACUGGAGCAGCAGCAUGGCCAGGUGGACUGGGGACAGCAAGGAGUCAUCAUGUCAGGUAGUCCUGGGGCAUGGUCCUAGGGCUCAGGUCCUCCGAGAGAGAGAAAGAAAGAAGGAGAGAAUUAGAGAACGCACACUUAGAUUCACACAGGACACCGAAUUAGGACAGGAGAAGUACUCCAGAUA